This 1086-nucleotide long non-coding RNA is filed under the name Pan troglodytes (chimpanzee). RNAcentral's name for it is "long non-coding RNA NONPTRT009227". The record is from RNAcentral. Lineage: Eukaryota; Metazoa; Chordata; Mammalia; Primates; Hominidae.
GGGCGCCCCGAAAGCCCGCAGGACUGAGUUGUCAGUCUCUCGCGGAGCGGGUCGUCUAGAAGUCAGUCUGUUUCCCUGGCACCCAUCCUUCGCGCGUAAACCCGGCCGCGAGUCCCCCUUGGAGGUAGAAGUGGCUGGCAUGGAUCGCUCCCAAGGAAGCUCAGCCUCAGGCUCAGUCACCCGGGUUCUCUCCGCCCGUCCAGGGACGCCGCGAGGGAAGCGAUUGUGCGGAUCGCUCGCCACCAGCCGCUCUCCAAAUGCGUGCAGAAUGGAGGCGAAAGGACACAAGGAGAAGGCAGCUGUCUACAAGCUAGGAAGCGAGCCGUCCCCAGAAACCAAUCCUGCUGGACCAUGAUCUGGGACUUCCAACCUCCAGAACUGUUAGAAGAUGUGUUUCUGUUGCUUAAGCCACUCAGGCUUUGUCACUUUAUCAUGGCAGCCUGAGCUAAGACUGAGUGUUUCUGCCAGCCCUGACCUAGCUCAGCGACCAAAGAUUUUUCUAGGUCACAGCCCCCGUGGACAUCUGGUGAGGCUGCAGAUCCUUCUUCUAGAAACACACACACAAUAUUGCACAAGGUUUCGUAUCCCUAAGCCCACCCAUGGUGAGUCCAUGGCCUCCAGCCUAAAAGCCCAAUCUAGACAUUUUUGUUCUCUUCAAAUUCUGUUGAGAGCUGGAAUCGGGAAAGAUAUCAACACUAACAUUUACCAAAUGCUUAUUCUCUGCUAGGUUCUAAGCUAAGUGCUUCCUUUCCCUGUGUCACAACAUCAUGGACAAGCCUCACACUAUCUCCAUGAGCAUGGGUUGGUUUUAUGUUUAGUUUAUAGGUGAGGACCCUGGAACGCAAAGAGGUUAAGUGACUUGCCCAUGGUCUCACAGCUAGGUAGUGGCGGAUUCAGGAGUCGAACCCAGGAUCAGAGCUGUCCUUAUAACCUCAGCACUCUAGAUGAGUCUGCAGGGCAGGGCUUGGGUCUCUGGGCUCCAGAGAAGCACUGCAAUCCAGAUCUGACUCCCCGUGGCCAAACAUCUCUUUGUGUCAGUUCCCAAGAAUUCUCCCUGCACUGACUGGUAUAUACAUCUAUUCUGGG